CUGCAACUCGACCCCAUGAAGUCGGAAUCGCUAGUAAUCGCGUAACAGCAUGACGCGGUGAAUACGUUCCCGGGCCUUGUACACACCGCCCGUCACACCAUGGGAGUGGGUUGCACCAGAAGUAGCUAGUCUAACCCUCGGGAGGACGGUUACCACGGUGUGAUUCAUGACUGGGGUGAAGUCGUAACAAGGUAGCCGUAGGGGAACCUGCGGCUGGAUCACCUCCUU
Molecule: ribosomal RNA, 228 nt
Filed under: uncultured Pelagophyceae
Lineage: Eukaryota; Pelagophyceae
Description: partial Bacterial small subunit ribosomal RNA
Rfam family: Bacterial small subunit ribosomal RNA
Source: RNAcentral